This 444-nucleotide ribosomal RNA is filed under the name uncultured bacterium. Its description in RNAcentral is "SSU rRNA". It matches the Rfam family "Bacterial small subunit ribosomal RNA", at positions 26 to 518 of the family's 1533-position model. The record is from RNAcentral.
AGAGCGAACGCUGGCGGCAGGCCUAACACAUGCAAGUCGAGCGCCCCGCAAGGGGAGCGGCAGACGGGAGAGUAACACGUGGGAACGUACCCUUUGGUUCGGAACAACACAGGGAAACUUGUGCUAAUACCGGAUAAGCCCUUACGGGGAAAGAUUUAUUGCCAAAGGAUCGGCCCGCGUCUGAUUAGCUUGUUGGUGAGGUAACGGCUCACCAAGGCUACGAUCAGUAGCUGGUCUGAGAGGAUGAUCAGCCUCACUGGGACUGAGACACGGCCCAGACUCCUACGGGAGGCAGCAGUGGGGAAUAUUGGACAAUGGGCGCAAGCCUGAUCCAGCCAUGCCGCGUGGAUGAUGAAGGCCCUAGGGUUGUAAAGUCCUUUCGACGGGGAAGAUAAUGACGGUACCCGUAGAAGAAGCCCCGGCUAACUUCGCGCCAGCAGCCGC